UCUGCUGACAAUAGAAUGGUCUGUUCAGUCGCAUACAGUGUGAUACCACAUUAACUCACUGUGAUGCAGAGCAGAUUCAAAACGUAGCACCAUGUUUAAAGGAGAAGGAAAUACAAUGUUAACUUUGAGGUUUAUAUAUAUAGAAUCAAUUCAUUUAAUAUGUUUCCUACAUCAGAGGCAUCCAUAAGCAGUUUAGGUAGAAAAGCCUUCUCACCAGACUUGAAAGCAGUCUCAAAUGUAAAUGAACUUGUCCCUUUGGCCUCUGUCUUAACAUACCUGGGUAAAUCUAACAAAAUUCUAAAAGAGAAAAACCACAACAAGAUAUCUGCACAAGUUCAUUUCUAGUGGUACCUCUCACUCCUUUUCCUGGCUGAAACUUUGAAACGGUCUGCCUUAUGACAUUCUUUAAAUAGCUUUAUAUAAAUUUUGUAUACUAGAAUACAGACUAUUUUGCUGGACAGUCUAAGGGUAUGGGAUCAUCCACCAUGUUCUCUUUGAAGUGAUGUUUUAAACACACGAUUGUUGGAAAGGUUUUUCUUUAGCCAUAGUAUUAUGCUUAAGGGAUAUUUGCAUUUCAAAGUAAGAGAGAGAGACUGACAAAAGGAGCCCACAUAUUCAUUUGUUCUUACGUUGAAAGAAAAGUGUACUGUCUAGCAGUUGGUAAUAAAAAUGUAUUUUAAAAGUACAGAACACUUUGCUCCUGAAAUGUGAUCACGUUAAGAUGCACGUGAUCAGCUUGUAGGACUGAAGGCAGUGAUAAGAAAGAUAGGUGGGUACGUUUUUAUCCCAGUAAUAGGCAUUAAGUUAGGAAGACAGAACCAACUACUGCUGGCACUCAGUCAAGCAUUUCAGCAUGUAGAACAAGGACAGCUUUAAAUAGCAGUAGAGAGAACAAAGCCUCGUGUGAUCAGCAUGUGCUCUUGAAUCAGAUACUCCUGAAUCAGAUACUCCACAGCACUUUGCUACGAACAGGAUUAUUAGCCCAGCACAAUUCUUCAUUUCUUCACAAUGAAAAUACUGAUGACAUGUACUCAGGAGAUCACAAAUGAUUUCUACUAAGAACAUUUGAAAAUAACUGAAUGGUCUGAGUAUUCAUGCUUGAUGGAACUACAGCUUGCUUCAUCUUCCACUUGCCUGUUACGGAAAGUUAAUGCCUGCUCCCAUCGACGCAGUGCUUCUUCAAAGAGCUCCAUACCUAUAGGAACAUCAGGAAUGCCUCCAUUCCAUCAGGCACACAGCUCUGAGCUCAGAGAAAGAGUCAAGUUUUGUCGGCUACUGGAACAACUUGAACCUGUUAGAUACAACAUUUUCAGUUUGAAGAAGGUUUAAAACUAGCAGAUCUUAUGUUAGCAAGAACUAGCAAGAACUGUUUCCAGUAAUUUCAAUAAAAUCCAGUUCAGAAGCAAA
Molecule: long non-coding RNA, 1407 nt
Organism: Tympanuchus pallidicinctus (lesser prairie-chicken)
Lineage: Eukaryota; Metazoa; Chordata; Aves; Galliformes; Phasianidae
Exons: 5
Source: RefSeq, a predicted model, not a curated record